UUAAUGAAUGUGAUCUUAUCAUGUUUGAUCAUGUUUAGGCUUUAAUCCACUCAGUGAGCCUUUGUUCUACUUAAGGUUUGGGUUAACACCACUCAGACUGGUACUGUUACACACAGUUUGCUCUGUUAUGUCACUCUGUGUGCCUAAUACAAUUCAAUACAGGUAGUGUGACUGUACAGAAUAAACUGUGCUCUGAGUGAGCUCUUACAGGUUCUUCCGGUCCUUUUUUUCAUUCAGUUUUCUUCUCCCAUCCGGGGAGUAGCUGAACAGCGGACUCCAGAGAUAUCAAGGCCUAUGUCACAUAACCAGACCCCAUCACCUUCCUCAUCAUGUGACCUGCAAUUCCACAGAGACAGACGCUACAAACAGCAACACUAAAAACAAGCACAGCAACAAUAUGUGGCUGACCAAUCGCCUGGCUGACAAGGUGUGUAGGGAAUGAGCGGUGAGCCGGGUGCUGGAGAAGCUAAGUGGUUUUGCAGAGCAGCAGACGCUCAGGGUUUGACCCCAGCUCUUCCUGAAGAUGUUGGAGGGUCUGGAGUUGUGGGAACUCUGUCUGCCUGAGCUGUGUGUGGCCAUCCAGAUUGCUAUGGAACAUGUGGCCCAGAUGCCCAGUGAGGUGUAUGAUGCCUGGCUGUGUUCGAGGGUAACUCUGCCACCCCAGUACCACCAUGCCCCCUCAUACACCAGGUGAACCAUCCUCAGAAAGGCCUGAAGGAAGGCUACAGAGUGGAACAAAUAGAUAAAGAGCACUCAGACACACUGGGGCUAUGAAUUUAAUGUGAGCUUGAGGCUGAGAUUGCCUAAAAUAGCCUUAAGAGUAAUGAGGGAAAAAUGAUAAGUAGGAAUAGUUCAUUUGCAUUUCAGCCUGCUCAGAAUUCACAUGAAUAGGUAAGUAGGAGAUGUUGGCACCACACAGCCAGCAGCAGAGAAAAUGCCAACUUCAAACCAAUCGCUGCCUCAACAAGAAGUAACCAUUUAAAAAUGUAACAAGUGAAGGUUGGAAGACAUAAUAUUUAUAUCUUCAUAAUUAAGUAAAAUCGUCCAAAUAAGCACAUGCACACAUCCUAAUAGGCACAUGUUCAUACAUGUGUACAGGUUAACACAGAGAUACAGACACACACAAUACGGAGAAGCAGGAAGUAAGACUGCUGCAUACUUCUUCCUUUUUAUCUAAGGAAUCUACAGUGGUUACAAAGAGU
This is a long non-coding RNA of Thunnus maccoyii (southern bluefin tuna), 1202 nucleotides long. RefSeq lists it as uncharacterized. NCBI's taxonomy places the organism in Eukaryota, Metazoa, Chordata, Actinopteri, Scombriformes, Scombridae. The record is from RefSeq and is a predicted model, not a curated record. The transcript has 3 exons.